Molecule: ribosomal RNA, 255 nt
Filed under: uncultured bacterium
Lineage: Bacteria
Description: partial 16S ribosomal RNA
Rfam family: Bacterial small subunit ribosomal RNA
Source: RNAcentral
UACAGAGGGGGCAAGGCGUUAUUCGGAAUUAUUGGGCGUAAAGGGCGCGUAGGCGGCCUGGCAAGUGGAAGGUGAAAUCCCUCGGCUUAACCGAGGAACUGCCCUCCAAACUGCUUGGCUUGAGUCCGGGAGAGGUGAGUGGAAUUCCCAGUGUAGCGGUGAAAUGCGUAGAUAUUGGGAGGAACACCAGUGGCGAAGGCGGCUCACUGGACCGGAACUGACGCUGAGGCGCGAAAAGCGUGGGGAGCAAACGGG